CUUGGUAGGAUAUUUACCAAGUGCAAUUCCAACCCCUCCCCCUGCACCCUCACCAAGUCCUUGCAAAGGGCCGUCAGGAGGCAGCUCUCUGCACAGGUCCUCGAGGAUGAAAAUGCCACCCCCGAGAUUGCAGGAGGGACUGUCACUAGUAUGGGGCAAGGGAACCAGGAGUCCUGACAGCAGGACUCCUUGGGAUGCAUGUAGGUGUGGGGUGCUGUGGCCCCUCCGCAGUCAACCCAGGAGUGCUCUGAACACUCAUGUUUCCUAACCUAUGAACAGCGAAGCUGGCGCUGAACGGGAGGUGUCUGCACUCGGAAGAUUGGAGAAGCACCUACAGGAGCCAUGUGGGUUGCCUGAGGCAUAGAACUCAGGAGGUACCUGGUGCUCCGGGGUGCAGGCACCUUAGGGUCCACGGAGCCCAGGCCAGCCAGGGCAUCUUCUUC
Molecule: long non-coding RNA, 443 nt
Filed under: Marmota monax (woodchuck)
Lineage: Eukaryota; Metazoa; Chordata; Mammalia; Rodentia; Sciuridae
Source: RNAcentral